Molecule: transfer RNA, 168 nt
Filed under: Gammaproteobacteria bacterium
Lineage: Bacteria; Pseudomonadati; Pseudomonadota; Gammaproteobacteria
Also listed under: 1 other name
Description: tRNA-Arg
Source: RNAcentral
GCGAAACGUGGUGAGUGGGUAUGAAACGCGGUGAAACCGCCUGGUUACCUGGCUUCGAACCAGGUGGUCGGGAGUUCGACAAAACGGCAGGACAGCCGUUUUGGACCGCGAAGCGACCCGCAGGGCGAGGGCCAUGGAUGGCCCGAGUCAAUCUCUCCGGGCGCGCCA